ACGAUUCACUGCAAACUGGGUGGCAAAGCACUGAAUGAGAAACUGCGGAGCAAAGCGGCUGGAGACAAACCGUGGCCUGCGCCUGAGGACACACGUGGGUCUGCAGCUGCUGCGCUGUCCGCGUGCGGCGGUGUGCGAUGACCUUUCCUUCCCCGGGAGCCCUCCGUGACCCCUCCACCCCACGAAGCUCCUUCGCCCCUCACCUCCAAUCGCUGCAUGUCCACCCAGGCGAGGCUGCCUGGAGCGACACUUGCCACCUGCAUCCUCCCUGUGAAAGCUCUGUCUCCCAGGCACCGAGGCCCAGGCCUGCUCCCUCCUGCCCGCGAGGCUGUAUCUGGAGGAAAAGGCCGAACGCUGUCAUCUCGGUCUCUGUCUCCGUAUUCCCCGCACGUAUGGCCACGACCC
This 405-nucleotide long non-coding RNA is filed under the name Heterocephalus glaber (naked mole-rat). Its description in RNAcentral is "lncRNA (ENSHGLG00100028600.2)". Lineage: Eukaryota; Metazoa; Chordata; Mammalia; Rodentia; Bathyergidae. The record is from RNAcentral.